AUGGAAAAAGCAAGGUGUUAUUUAAACUGUUUGGUAAAACAACAGAGACAACACUGUGAUGUCACCAGUUCCCAUGGAUUUAAUUACCAUCUCUAUGCUGAUGAUUCUCAGGUCUACCUUUCCUGCCCCAAUCUCUCUGCUGACUCCAACUUGAAUCUCCAUCUGCCUUUCAGACAUCUCAAACUGGAGCCAAUAUGUUCAUGCCUCCUACUGAAAGACCAUCCUUGCUAUGGAUGAAACCAGCAACUGUAAAGAAGUCUUCACUGAAGAAAGUAAGGAACUUCAAAAGCUGGAGCAGACUUCAACCAAUGAACUAUUGAUGGCAAAGUCAACAGCCUGAGAAAGCAGAUGGGAGUGAUAAAGUUUAAUGCUCCUAGAGCUGACUGUUUGGUUUGGUUUGGUUUUUUCUCCCAAAGAGCCUGGGAGAAGAUAUAGAUAUAUAGAUAUAUAUACAUAUAUAUAUGUAUAUAUAUGUAUGUAUGUAUGUAUGAAGUAAUGAUGUUCACAGUGGUGGGAUGCUGGAUAUAUGCAUUUUUGUAUACCAAACACAUGGGGAGAAAGCUAGAGUGAAACAGAUUACCCCCACUAGAGAGGAAAGUUGAAGAAGUUUGACUACUUCAAUGUAUUUGAUUCAAAUCCAAAAUAUGCCUAAUGAACACAAUGCUGAGAUAUAAAAGCAAAAAGGAACAAUCUCUGCCCACAAGAAGCUUACAUUCAGAAGCUACCAGAAGGGAUAAGAGAUUGGAAAAAAACAAGGGAAUGCACAGAUGAAAUUAUCCAGAAAUCUACUAAAGCCAAAGUAAGAAGGAUAUACGUAUAAAAUAAGUAAAGUGCCUCAUAAUACAAAAACUUGAUAAUUAGCAAAGAAAGGUAUAGGUUUGUAGAAAUUAUUCCUAUUUUAUCUACUAAAGAUCCUCAACAGAAUUCAACCAUAAGUAUGAUAUUUAACUGAAACUCAUUUUUUUGUUUUUGCUAUUUAAGAAAUACAUCUUAUUUCUGGACAAAGGAGUGGUUUAAAUUUUUAAGCUUAUUCACUUGAAGGGAAAGUGAAUCACAGUUUCUAUCCUGUCUCUAGGAAUAAAACUCAUUGACUUUACUGAUAAACUUUUGGU
RNAcentral lists this long non-coding RNA (1112 nucleotides) under Monodelphis domestica (gray short-tailed opossum). RNAcentral's name for it is "lncRNA (ENSMODG00000031284.2)". The record is from RNAcentral. Lineage: Eukaryota; Metazoa; Chordata; Mammalia; Didelphimorphia; Didelphidae.